Molecule: non-coding RNA, 234 nt
Organism: Tinamus guttatus (white-throated tinamou)
Lineage: Eukaryota; Metazoa; Chordata; Aves; Tinamiformes; Tinamidae
Source: RefSeq, a predicted model, not a curated record
GACUACCGGAAGAUAAAAAGCCAGAACAGAAACGGGGAAUUUGAACUGAUGCAUGUGGAUGAAUUUAUUGAUGAACUACUCCAUGAGGAACGCGUGUGUGAUAUCAUUCUGCCUCGAUUACAGAAACGGUAUGUUCUGGAAGAAGCUGAGCAACUCGAACCUCGUGUUAGUGCUUUGGAAGAAGACAUGGAUGAUGUGGAGUCGAGUGAGGAGGAGGAGGAGGAAGAUGAAAAA